GGUUUUUCUGUUCAGUCCAGAUGUGUGUUCUGUCAGUUGCUGCGCUACCUGUUCUUCAUAUUGGAUGUAGCCAGUUUCCUCAGACUCCACGUGUGUAGUGACUCCGCCCCGUCCAGUCUGCGGCAUCAAAGCAACAUGGAGGAGAAUGCAAACAGAGUCAACUGAGCAACAGCAGCUUGUACCAAAGAAACACGCAGUGUCUGUCGUUUGGACAAGUUUUGGCUUCAAUAAAGAUGACAACGAACAAACUCACAUUAAAUGCAACCCCUGCAGAAAAACUGUUUCAGCGACCAAAGGUAAAACCACCAAUCUGUUUCAACACUUGGAGCACAAUCACGUUACCGAAUAUGAACAGUGCAUGGCUCAAAAAAGAAAAGAGACUGACAGGCGCCCAGCAACAAGUGCCUCUAUAAAGCAGGUGUCGAUAACGCAAACAUUGACAAACGCUACAAAAUAUGAAAAGGAUUUAAGAAGAUGGAAAGAAAUAACUGACGCCAUUUGUUACCACAUUGAAGGAUAUGGCUCCCAUAGCUACAGUGGAGCACAGUGGGUUUAAACAACUCAUUAAAACACAUGACAGAAGACACACUGUUCCACCGUGAUCAUAUUUUUCCCAAACUGCGUUGCCCAACAUGUACCAAACAAGGUAGCUGCUGAACUGAAGUCUGUUAAGCAACAGGUGCCUUGAGACAGUAUAUUUUCCAGUCCAUCACAAGUGAGAGAUGAUCGCGCAGGGCCUGAGAGAUACUCUUUCUGCGUGGGAACUAACAGAAGAGAACCUCGUGGCCAUUAUGAAGGACAACUGCGCUAAUGUUGUCAAAGCUGAACGGAUGGACAUGGCAGCAAUGUUUUGGACACAGGCUGCACCUGCAAUCGAAAAUGCAGUCAAAGAUCAAUGUGUGGUGCGGGCAAUGAUGGUGUGCAAAAACAGUCUGUGCCUUUUCCUAUAGUUUGAAAAAGCAGAAGGUAUUAAGGCGCAACAAGAGCUGAACCUGCCUCAACACAAGCUGAAAACCGAUGGGGAUCAACGCAAAUGAUGACUGCACUGAGAAAAAGAGAGCCAUUCCACAGGUACUCGCUGAUUAUAAAAAAUCAAGGCAUCUUAUUCCAUCUUGGGCUGACCUGGAUGUCUUGGGGGCUGUCAACAGAGCUCUUUCCCCAUUGAUGGAGUUCACAGAUGCCUGGUCAGGAGAGGAGUAUGUGACCAUUUCAUUCGACCCCAUUACAGAAGAGCUACUGGACACCGCCAAUUUUGUUGAUCCAAGAUUUACACAGACACAUACAUUUCUGCACACCAUGUCCCCUCCAUUCAGGAGAAAGUGAAAACGGAGAUGGUGUCAGCAGCUGCAGUCCGCAGGGAAAGUACCACUGAGAGAACACAGCCCUCUAGGUCUUCAUCAGAAACAAAGAAGCCAAAGGAAGUGAGGCACCUCCUUCAACUGUACCCACUUUAUCACUUCAGCAAACACUAGAAGCAGAGCUUAGCAGCUAGUUGGUGUCCCCCGUGCUGGAUAAUGAGGAAAAUCCACUGGAAUGGUGGGGAAAGCAUCAUGUACACUUCCCUACUCUAAGUAGGGUGGCGAAAAUUUAUCUCUGUAUACCAGCCCCUAACUCCCCAUCAGAGCGAGUUUUCAGGAGGAAACAUUGUUACAUGCCUCAGAUCUUCCCUGAAACCUGAGAAGGUAAACAUGCUAGUGUUUCUUAGUAAGAACCUGGAGUAAAUACUUAUUUUUAUAUGGCAAUAUUUAACAUUUGUUUACAAGAGAUAAAAGUUAUUUUCUACUUUUAAGAUGCAUUUAAGUAUUUACAAUAAUUUAUAUUGUCUGCAAAAAAGCUAUUUUUUAAAGUUUAUUUUCUACAUUUUUAGGAAACUUUCUUUCAAGCAAUGUUUGCUUUGAUUUCAAUUGUUCGAAAUAUGCAAUAAAUAAGCAUUAAUAGCUAA
Molecule: long non-coding RNA, 1942 nt
Organism: Micropterus salmoides (largemouth bass)
Lineage: Eukaryota; Metazoa; Chordata; Actinopteri; Centrarchiformes; Centrarchidae
Exons: 3
Source: RefSeq, a predicted model, not a curated record